Long non-coding RNA from Melospiza melodia melodia, 2789 nucleotides. RefSeq lists it as uncharacterized. NCBI's taxonomy places the organism in Eukaryota, Metazoa, Chordata, Aves, Passeriformes, Passerellidae. The transcript has 4 exons. The record is from RefSeq and is a predicted model, not a curated record.
CCCAGCCGUGAGGAUGCUCGCUGAGGCCUUUCCCAGAUCCUCCCCGCUAACACGGCAGUGAGGAGGGAUCUCUGCAGAUGGAGAAGGUGUGGUUAGGUCAGUUCCCUUCACACCCCAAAUUCUUCUCACCUGAUGGCACCAUCAACAGGCAGUGUCCUCCUGGCCCGCUUCCCCACCACCAGGGACUCUCUCCAGUCUGGUCCAUCCACCUUCACACUCUGAAAUGCUUACUAUUUUUCCCUGGUCCUUUGUGUCUCCUUCGCCCAAAAAGCCUCUCUGAUCUCACCAGCAUCCUUCCACUCAUCUCUACUAAUGGCAGAUUGAAUUUUGCUGAUCCCAUAUGAUCCAUUUUGAUCUCAUCCUCGUGCUUGGAGAAUUCAGUUUUUGUCAGCAUUGCUGAGAAGUCACUCAAGACAGCUGAUCAUUCUUCAUUAACAGCAGUUCCAAAGAAUAGAAUUAUCUCGUAGGAGGGAAGUGAUAAGACUGAAUCUCUGAACAAGGGACUGAAACAGAACAUAAAUCUAACUGUGCCCCACAGUUUUUGUCCUUGCACUUUCAUGAGCAACAGCAUUCCCACUGCUGCUUAAAGGAACUGGAGUUUUGCGACGAAUUCAACAGAGAAAUUGAGAAACCAUAAGCAUUAAGCAUGUGCUCCUAGGGGAGGACCACCUAUUUCUGGGGUUGUAUGCCAAGGUGAAUUGGGAACAGACAAGGAUCCAUGCCUCUCUUCCCCCAUGCCCUGCACACAGAGUGGUCACUAGGUAUCACUGGCAACCAUAUCUGUCGUCCCAUGAAAAGACUCUGGAAAAUGAAUGUCCACCUUCUCCUUCUCUGAUCCUUUUAAAAUCCUUAUGUAAUACCUUGUGACCAGCUACUAUCACAGAAGACAUGGAAAAACUUCCUACAUGCUUCUUGCACGAUGUGUCUUCAGCUGUGGAAAAUAUGCAGAGGCCUGUGAAGUUCAUGAGUAGAAGAUGUUUACAAAAAUAGAAUCUGUAUCAGAUCCAUAGAGGCAGGAAUCGUCCUGCAGGGGCUGUUGCUCCAGUGUGCUUCAGCGCUGGCCUCCUGCCACUGGCAGUUUGGAUUCCCCAGUAAAAGCUACUUCUGGCAGAGAUCUCAGUAAUUGCUUCAUGGAGGUAAUGUAGUAGAUGCCAUAAGAGUUAAUUCUACAUCAAGCUGUAUUAGCUACUGAUAGGAUUUUCGUGUGGACCGAAAAGGAAAUGAGAUAGCAAAAUGACUCAUGCAGUUCUUCUUUCUUCAGAGCUCCUUUGCUGCAGAAGACAAACAGAAAGGUUUUUUAUGAGGUUUUAAAGAAGGAAAAAAAGCAGUGCCAAUGUAGUUCAGAUCCUGAAAGUGGUGCAACUUAUCUCACAUAAGUGAAAGGCUGGGUCCUUUCAAGCUGGGAAAAUAUUUGAGGCUGUGUGAAUCAACUGAAGGGAUAACAGGUGGAGAGAGGUAGGUUGUGUUUGCAUUACAUAUUGUGAUAUAAGCUCAUGCUUACCUACACUCACACCCCAGCAAGUUUGAUCUCGUUCUUCCUGCACCCAGAGACCAUAAAAAACUUUAGGGGAGCAUAUUAGUUUAGUGCUGAGAUAGAACUAAUCAGUCCACACCCUCAAUAGUGCAUUUAUCAAAAACUCCUCCUGGGUAUUUUAUCCCAUAUGGCUGAAGAGAUGUAAUGGUGAGCACAAUUAUUUUCUCCUCUUUCACCCUAAAAUAUUUUCUCCUCUUCUCUUCAUGGUGAAUUCUCAAAUUAGCCUAUGCUGCCACAGUAGAGACACAUGCCUGGGACAUCCUGGCGUCCUCUAUUGGAAACUGAACAUUUGGCAGAGCAUCCCAAAUUAAGGACAAUCUUACCCAGAGGAAUGAAAUACUUUGAUGUUCGUAAGAUACCUUAAAAACACACUUAUUUCAACACAAGGUGAAAUUUAAAAAAAAAUUCUGAAACAAAUUAGGAUUUCUGCAGUGGGGAGAUCUUCCCAGCACAUAAAGCCCUGGCAAGGAGUGGGCCACCUGUAACUUAACAACAGACAGGACUCACAUGCGUGCUUUGCUGCAAAGAUCCUACUGUGUGACCUUGCUUAGUUUGGCAGUAUUUCAUUAAAAUGCAAUCAGCUUUCUGUAUAACACCUGGAUUUGAAGUAUUGAUACAGAAAUAAAUUUUCAAUACUCAAGUGUUUACAAUUCUUUUCUCACCUUACAUUGAUAUUUGCCUUCCAUUUGUUUUUCUUAAGAAUUUGUAGCUUCAUGGUUUUUCAGAAGAACAGUCCUGGCUUGCAGGUUUUUAGGAAGUAUGAUAUUCUCUCAGCAUCUUCAUCCCUUUUUGGUCUUUAUGCAGAGUCAUGCAGAAGUGUCAUGCUGAGUUCUAGAUAUAUUAAGAACUCAUUUUUGUACAGUUCCCAUUUCAAGGCUUUAUGGAAGACAUGGGACAGGAACUUACCAUCUGGAGCUGUGGUGGUGCAGCUUGCUCUGGUAGCAUCUCCCCCACGCCUUCGUAGCACAGUGACCUAGUGCAUGUGACCAUGCAUCACCUGCCACUCCAGCAGGGGACCCAGCACUCUCUGGAACUGCAGCUCAGCACCAAAGAACUAGCAAGUCUAGGCUGCCUCAUCUGUCACAAACUUCACCCACUCAGCAGCCCCCUCCUGGCAAGUGCCUUUCAUAAAUCCAUUCUGCAUCCUCGUGUGUCCUUACCUUGUGUCUGAGCCAGCUAAAUGCCUGCUCAUACAGAGUGAGACUGGAGGUAGGCUGGGCCAGGCUCUGAAAUUCCAGUUUCUUCUGCCAUGGCC